Molecule: non-coding RNA, 71 nt
Organism: Spinacia oleracea (spinach)
Lineage: Eukaryota; Viridiplantae; Streptophyta; Magnoliopsida; Caryophyllales; Amaranthaceae
Source: Rfam
UGCCUAUUAGCUCAAUUGGAAGAGCUUUGUGCGAUUGCACAAUAAUGUAGGUUCCAAUCCUACAGAGGCAA